Eutrema salsugineum is the source of this 103-nucleotide non-coding RNA. NCBI's taxonomy places the organism in Eukaryota, Viridiplantae, Streptophyta, Magnoliopsida, Brassicales, Brassicaceae. The record is from Rfam.
GUCCCUUCGGGGAGAUUUGAUAAAAUUGGAACGAUACAGAGAAGAUUAGCAUUGUCCCUACGCAAGGAUGACAUGCACAAAUCGAAAUAGUCCAAUUUUUUUU